AGAAGUUCUGCUGUGGGUAAAAUGUCAAACAGCAUCCCAUGCUAUAGGGAAAUUUUUCGUGGAAGGAAGAGACAGUUAAUCUGGUAAACUUCAUUGUUGUCUUACUUUAUGAAAUUGCCACAGCCACCCUAGCCUUCCAUAGCCACCUCCCUGAUCGGUCAGCAGCCAUCAGCUGAUGUCAAGAGAAGGAAGCUGAACUGAACAAGGUUAAGUGACUUGGCCAAAGUCACAGGCACUAACUACGACAGCUGAAAGUUUCAGAACGUUCUCUCCAGCUGUGACAAGGAGGUGCACGUGAAGUGUGCCUCCAGCCAGCCCCAUAUGUCCAGAAACAUCAAUAAAAGAAGGGAACCAUGAAAAGGCAUGGGCACAGAACGACGUGGUCAAAACCAAAAGCAAAACAAAACACAGCUUUGUUCCCAAACCUGCUUUACACUUACAGACUGAGGAACCUUGGGAAAGCUGCUUAACAUCUGUUUUUGUUUCUCGUUGGUAAACUGUGGGGGGAACAUCCAUCUCACGUGGGGUCACUGAGCAUUUAAAUGAGACGAUUAACAGAAAUUAGCUUCAACAUCUUGAAAAAUGUUUUUUAAUGAGGGUUUCUUUCAUAUGUUUAGGCAGGGACCUAUAAUACGACAGGUUUUGUUUAUACAAAGUGAAAUUAGACAACGGUCCUACCCUCAGAAUGGGUAGGACCUUGGCAGGGAAGGCAAGGUGUCAAGUAGAAAGUGAAGCGUGCUGAGCGACUGAUGUCAAUAAAGGGGUGACAGGAGAAAGGGGAGGACCGUUGUCUCUCCCGGAUGGCUCCAUCGAGGGUACUGCUGGGGGAGGCACCAUUUGAGUCAGGCCUGGAAAUACGGUAGAGAAAAGUGCUGCUGGCAGAGGAGAAAACGCAAAGGCACAGAGGAGAGAGGGAGGCGUGUGCGGCAAACACCUACAUCACACUUCGCAGCCUUCAAAGGGCCUUUGCACUCUCUCGUUUAUUCCGCACAGCAGUCAUUGAAGAGGACAAGAGGGACAGUGGACGUUCCCAGCACAAAGUAAUGGUCAAUGUUUUGGAUGAUGGAUAAGCUAAUACCCUGAUCUGAUCCCUACACAUUAGAUGCGUGGAAGCAUCACUACGAUACACACAUCCCUGCGUAUCCUGUUAUGCAUUAAUAGGUAUCAUUAGUAUGUGCAAUUUAAAAAAUGAAAUUUAAAUUAUAAAAACAGGACAAGUCAGAGAUUUCCUGGCUGCUUCCCUGGGGGUACAGAGAAGCGAAAGGGACUCACCCAGGCUAAGGACUGUUCCAGGACAGGACAUGGCAGCUGGCGGAACUGAUGUGUGACUCCAAGUCUGAUGGUAAAAACUCCCUCUCUGGAUAGAGAAAUGGCCCCACGGAAAUCAGGCAGGGAUUGUUUAUUGAUGACGAGUGGCUUGGAUGUGGGAAAUGGUGAACUCCUUGCUUCUGAUAGGGCAACAUUCCACGACAGUCUGUGGGUACCUGGAGGGACCUUAAGAGCACUGGGUACCAAGAAUGGACUCGAAGCCACCAGCUGUGAAUGGUACAGGACUUGGUAAGGCCAGGGACCCCACCAGGUGGGAAGCCAACAAUAAGAAGGGUUUGCGUCCGAGAGCCUGAC
Long non-coding RNA from Callithrix jacchus (white-tufted-ear marmoset), 1623 nucleotides. RefSeq lists it as uncharacterized. Lineage: Eukaryota; Metazoa; Chordata; Mammalia; Primates; Cebidae. The record is from RefSeq and is a predicted model, not a curated record.